AACGCGAAGAACCUUACCUGGGCUCGAAGCGCAGUGGAAUCCGGUGGAAACAUCGGCGCCCCUUAAAAGGCUGCUGCGGAGGUGCUGCAUGGCUGUCGUCAGCUCGUGUCGUGAGAUGUUGGGUUAAGUCCCGCAACGAGCGCAACCCUUAUCAUUAGUUGCCAACACGUAAGGUGGGGACUCUAAUGAGACUGCCUAGGUUAACUAGGAGGAAGGCGAGGAUGACGUCAAGUCCGCAUGGCCUUUAUGUCCAGGGCUACACACGUGCUACAAUGGUCGGUACAGAGGGCUGCAAGACCGUAAGGUGGAGCAAAUCCCAGAAAGCCGAUCUCAGUUCAGAUUGUGGACUGCAACUCGUCCACAUGAAGUCGGAAUUGCUAGUAAUGGCGCGUCAGCAACAGCGCCGUGAAUACGUUCCCGGGCCUUGUACACACCGACGCGUA
Molecule: ribosomal RNA, 443 nt
Filed under: uncultured bacterium
Lineage: Bacteria
Description: bacterial SSU rRNA
Rfam family: Bacterial small subunit ribosomal RNA
Source: RNAcentral